UAUUGCACAAUGGGGGAAACCCUGAUGCAGCGACGCCGCGUGAAGGAAGAAGUAUCUCGGUAUGUAAACUUCUAUCAGCAGGGAAGAAAAUGACGGUACCUGACUAAGAAGCCCCGGCUAACUCCGUGCCAGCAGCCGCGGUAAUACGUAGGGGGCAAGCGUUAUCCGGAUUUACUGGGUGUAAAGGGAGCGUAGACGGAAGGGCAAGUCUGAUGUGAAAGGCUGGGGCUUAAACCCAGGAAUGCAUUGGAAACUGUUGUUCUAGAGUGCCGGAGAGGUAAGCGGAAUUCCUAGUGUAGCGGUGAAAUGCGUAGAUAUUAGGAGGAACACCAGUGGCGAAGGCGGCUCACUGGACUGUAACUGACGUUGAGGCUCGAAAGCGUGGGGAGCAAACAG
This 396-nucleotide ribosomal RNA is filed under the name uncultured bacterium. RNAcentral describes it as "bacterial SSU rRNA". It matches the Rfam family "Bacterial small subunit ribosomal RNA", at positions 362 to 775 of the family's 1533-position model. The record is from RNAcentral.